This 771-nucleotide ribosomal RNA is filed under the name Brevundimonas sp. AKB-2008-RA10. Its description in RNAcentral is "bacterial SSU rRNA". It matches the Rfam family "Bacterial small subunit ribosomal RNA", at positions 23 to 841 of the family's 1533-position model. Lineage: Bacteria; Pseudomonadati; Pseudomonadota; Alphaproteobacteria; Caulobacterales; Caulobacteraceae. The record is from RNAcentral.
CUCAGAGCGAACGCUGGCGGCAGGCCUAACACAUGCAAGUCGAACGGACUCUUCGGAGUUAGUGGCGGACGGGUGAGUAACACGUGGGAACGUGCCUUUAGGUUCGGAAUAAGCUCGGGAAACUGGGUCUAAUACCGAAUGUGCCCUUCGGGGGAAAGAUUUAUCGCCUUUAGAGCGGCCCGCGUCUGAUUAGCUAGUUGGUGGUGUAAUGGACCACCAAGGCGACGAUCAGUAGCUGGUCUGAGAGGAUGACCAGCCACAUUGGGACUGAGACACGGCCCAAACUCCUACGGGAGGCAGCAGUGGGGAAUCUUGCGCAAUGGGCGAAAGCCUGACGCAGCCAUGCCGCGUGUAUGAUGAAGGUCUUAGGAUUGUAAAAUACUUUCACCGGUGAAGAUAAUGACUGUAGCCGGAGAAGAAGCCCCGGCUAACUUCGUGCCAGCAGCCGCGGUAAUACGAAGGGGGCUAGCGUUGCUCGGAAUUACUGGGCGUAAAGGGAGCGUAGGCGGACAUUUAAGUCAGGGGUGAAAUCCCAGAGCUCAACUCUGGAACUGCCUUUGAUACUGGGUGUCUUGAGUGUGAUAGAGGUAUGUGGAACUCCGAGUGUAGAGGUGAAAUUCGUAGAUAUUCGGAAGAACACCAGUGGCGAAGGCGACAUACUGGAUCAUUACUGACGCUGAGGCUCGAAAGCGUGGGGAGCAAACAGGAUUAGAUACCCUGGUAGUCCACGCCGUAAACGAUGAUUGCUAGUUGUCGGGGUGUUUACAUCUC